Molecule: non-coding RNA, 113 nt
Organism: Acanthosepion pharaonis
Lineage: Eukaryota; Metazoa; Mollusca; Cephalopoda; Sepiida; Sepiidae
Source: the annotation of a GenBank genome assembly
UUACGACCAUAUCACCUUGAAAGGUCGGUUCUCGUAAGGUCAUCGAAGUUAAGCCACCUCUAGCCUGAUCACUAACGAGACGGGUGACCGCUUGGGAAUACCAAGUGCUGUAA